CAGACUUUGCGGGCGGCCACCGUGUGCCAAAAAUAGGGCACGGGCACAGCCGCACCCAAAAAUCAGCCCCCGAAAGUAGGGGUGCCAAGACCCCCCAGCGGAAAAAUGGCCAAAAAACGGGUGGGCUAUUGCCUUGGUGGGGGGCGCGGGCGAAGUUCGUCCGCCGGACUCGGAAUGGCCCCAGACUUUGCGGGCGGCCUCCGUGCGUCAAAAAUAGGCCACGGGCACAGCCGAGCCCAAAAUCAGCCCCCGAAGGUCGGGGUGCCAAGACCCCCCAGCAAGGCUAUAUGGCCAAAAAACGGGUGGGCUAUAGCCUUGGUGGGGGGCGCGGGCGAAGUUCGUCCGCCGGACUCGGAAUGGCCGCAGACUUUGCAGGCGGUCUCCGUGCGCCAAAAAUAGGCCACGGGCACAGCCGCGCCCAAAAAUAAGCCCCCGAAGGUCGGGGUGCCAAGACCCCCCAGCAAGGCUAUAUGGCCAAAAAACGGGUGGGCUAUAGCCUUGGUGGGGGGCUUGGGCGAAGUUCGUCCGCCGGACUCGGAAUGGCCCCAGACUUUGCGGGCGGCCGCCGUGCGCCAAAAAUAGGCCACGGGCACAGCCGCGCCCAAAAAUCAGCCCCCGAAGGUCGGGGUGCCAAGACCCCCCAGCAAGGCUAUAUGGCCAAAAAACGGGUGGGCUAGAGCCUUGGUGGGGGUGUGGGCGAAGUUCAUCCGCCGGACUCGGAAUGGCCCCAGACUUUGCGUGUGGCCUCCGUGUGCCCAAAAUAGGCUACGGGCACAGCCGCGCCCAAAAAUCAGCCCCCGAAGGUCGGGGUGCCAAGACCCCCCAGCAAGGGUAUAUGGCCAAAAAACGGGUGGGCUAUAGCCUUGGUGGGGGGCGUGGGCGAAGUUCUUCCGCCGGACUCGGAAUGGCCCCAGACUUUGCGGCCGGCUUCCGUGUGCCAAAAAUAGGCCACGGGCACAGUCGCGCCCAAAAAUCGGCCCCCGAAGGUCGGGGUGCCAAGACCCCCCAGCGGAAAAAUGGCCAAAAAACAGGUGGGCUAUAGCCUUGGCGGGGGGCGGGGGCGAAUUUCGUCCGCCGGACUCGGAAUGGCCCCAGACUUUGCUGGCGGCCUCCAUGUGCCAAAAGUAGGCCACGGGCAUAGCCGCGCCCCAAAAUCAGCCCCCGAAGGUCGGGGUGCCAAGACCCCCCAGCAAGGCUAUAUGGCCAAAAAACGGGUGGGCUAUAGC
This 1226-nucleotide long non-coding RNA is filed under the name Citrus x clementina. Its description in RNAcentral is "Citrus clementina (C. clementina) long non-coding RNA (CCLE_LNC005070)". Lineage: Eukaryota; Viridiplantae; Streptophyta; Magnoliopsida; Sapindales; Rutaceae. The record is from RNAcentral.